AUUCAGAUUCAGAAUCAUGGGCAUCAUGUGCCAGAUUUGCAGUAUCACUACUUUUACCCUUUUGGGCUGACUCGUUGUGCCAGCAAUCAUAAGAGUAGUGACCAUACUUCUUGCAGGUGUAACACUGUAUGUUCCGUUUAUCUGUGCCUUUUCUGCCUCUACCUCUCGGACAUCUAUCGCCUCUGCUACCUCUAUUCUCUCCAUUUUCUUCACCGCUUUGUUCUGAGUAUGUCACAUUUCUUUCUCCAUUUCGG
Molecule: long non-coding RNA, 254 nt
Filed under: Vigna radiata
Lineage: Eukaryota; Viridiplantae; Streptophyta; Magnoliopsida; Fabales; Fabaceae
Description: long non-coding RNA (VRAD_LNC013549)
Source: RNAcentral